UACGUAGGGGGCAAGCGUUGUCCGGAUUUAUUGGGCGUAAAGAGCGUGUAGGCGGCUAGGUAGGUCCGUUGUGAAAACUCGAGGCUCAACCUCGAGCUGUCGAUGGAAACCAUCUGGCUAGAGUCCGGAAGAGGAGAGUGGAAUUCCUGGUGUAGCGGUGAAAUGCGCAGAUAUCAGGAGGAACACCGGUGGCGAAGGCGGUUCUCUGGGCAUUACCUGACGCUGAGGAGCGAAAGUGUGGGGAGCGAACAGG
Molecule: ribosomal RNA, 253 nt
Filed under: uncultured bacterium
Lineage: Bacteria
Description: partial 16S ribosomal RNA
Rfam family: Bacterial small subunit ribosomal RNA
Source: RNAcentral